CGGGGAAUAUUGCACAAUGGGCGGAAGCCUGAUGCAGCGACGCCGCGUGGGGGAUGAAGGCCUUCGGGUUGUAAACUCCUUUCGACAGGGACGAAGCUUUUGUGACGGUACCUGUAUAAGAAGCACCGGCUAACUACGUGCCAGCAGCCGCGGUAAUACGUAGGGUGCGAGCGUUGUCCGGAAUUACUGGGCGUAAAGAGCUCGUAGGUGGUUUGUCGCGUCGUCUGUGAAAUUCCGGGGCUUAACUCCGGGCGUGCAGGCGAUACGGGCUGACUUGAGUGCUGUAGGGGAGACUGGAAUUCCUGGUGUAGCGGUGAAAUGCGCAGAUAUCAGGAGGAACACCGAUGGCGAAGGCAGGUCUCUGGGCAGUAACUGACGCUGAGGAGCGAAAGCAUGGGUAGCGAACAGG
RNAcentral lists this ribosomal RNA (409 nucleotides) under Actinomycetes bacterium. RNAcentral describes it as "Actinobacteria bacterium partial 16S ribosomal RNA". It matches the Rfam family "Bacterial small subunit ribosomal RNA", at positions 355 to 776 of the family's 1533-position model. Lineage: Bacteria; Bacillati; Actinomycetota; Actinomycetes. The record is from RNAcentral.